UUUUCUUCCCAAUCAUUUUCCGUGAAAGCAACCACGGGAUCAUCGAUUGGCAUUUUUUUCCAGACACUACUCAUCAAUUAUUUUAUUCUUUGGUCCGCACACACGCAUUAAGUAACGGACGGACCUGAUUGUCUGAGAUCCAUCACACUCCCUGUACUUGUGUCUCAGCUUCUUCUUCUGCUCCUCGCUUACCAAAAUCUGGAAUCCAGAUCGGGCGAUUCGCAGUCGGUGUCGUCAAUCCAAUGGCGGUAGCAGCUCGAGGCGGGCGAGGAUCGUUCGGCGGCGGCGGUCUACGCAAUAUCGUCUCGUAUCGGAUCUUUGCCUCCGCCCUGUUCACUAUUCUCUUCAUCGCCACAAUCUCUGUCCUCCUCAACACCAAUCCAGCUCCUCCAUCUCACGACUCUGUGAUCCCGAGCUCCGGCAACGCCUACAUGCAACGGACCUUCCUUGCCCUCAAAUCUGAUCCGCUCAGGACCCGACUCGACCUCAUCCACAAGCAGGCCAACGAUCACAUCACCCUCGUCAACGCCUAUGCGGCCUACGCCCGCAAGCUCAAGCUCGAUAUCUCGCGGCAGCUCCGAAUGUUCGACGAUUUGGCGCGGAAUUUCUCUGAUCUGGCGGCACGGCCUGGACCGAGGACGGCGCCGGAGGAUGAGGUGGAGGGGACGGGGGACGAGGACCUUGUGAGGCAGUUGGAGAAGGAGGUGAAGGACAGGGUGAAGAUCGCGAGGCUUAUGAUUGCUGAGUCGAAGGAGUCGUAUGAUAAUCAGAUCAAGAUUCAGAAGUUGAAAGAUACUAUUUUUUCUGUGAAUGAGUUGCUGGUGAAGGCGAAGAAGAAUGGGCAGGUUGCAAGUUUGAUUGCCGCGAAGUCUAUUCCGAAGAGUCUGCAUUGUUUGGCGAUGAGAUUGGUGGAGGAGAGAAUUGCGCAUCCAGACAAGUAUACGGAGGAAGAGGACAGUGCUGAGUUUGAGGAUCCGAGUUUGUACCAUUAUGCUAUAUUUUCGAAUAAUGUGAUUGCAGUGUCGGUGGUGGUGAAUUCUGCGGUGAAGAAUGCUCAGGAGCCAUGGAAGCAUGUUUUCCAUGUGGUAUCGGAUCGAAUGAAUGUUGCCGCCAUGAAGGUUUGGUUUAAGAUGAGGCCGGUCGGAGGAGGAGCACGUGUGGAGGUGAAAGCAGUGGAGGAUUAUGCGUUUUUAAAUUCUUCAUAUGUGCCGGUGCUUAGACAAAUGGAGUCGGCGAAUUAUGGGGAUAAUGCAAAACUAAGGAACCCCAAUUACUCAUUGCUGAAUCACCUUCGGUUUUAUUUGCCUGAGAUGUACCCGAAGCUGCACCGCAUUUUGUUUUUGGAUGAUGAUGUGGUUGUUCAGAAGGACCUAUCAGCCUUGUGGAGGAUUGAUUUGGAUGGAAAGGUGAAUGGGGCUGUUGAGACUUGCUUCGGCUCAUUUCAUCGUUAUGCCCACUAUUUGAACUUCUCGAAUUCUGUCAUUAGGGAGAAGUUCAACCCCAAGGCUUGUGCCUGGGCAUAUGGGAUGAAUAUAUUUGAUCUUGACGCUUGGAGGCGUGAAAAAUGCACGGACCAGUAUCAUUAUUGGCAAAACUUGAAUGAGGAUGGGACGCUAUGGAAAUCGGGGAUGCUUCCGCCUGGCCUGAUCACAUUUUACUCAACAACAAAAUCAUUGGACAAAUCUUGGCAUGUACUGGGACUUGGGUACAAUCCAAGUAUUAGCAUGGAUGAGAUCAACCAUGCUGCAGUGAUUCAUUUUAAUGGAAACAUGAAACCUUGGCUUGAUAUUGCCAUUAACCAAUUUAAGAAUCUCUGGACAAAAUAUGUGGACAAUGAUAUGGAGUUUGUGCAGGUGUGCAAUUUUGGCCUCUAGAUGAGUACCUGUACCACCCCAACAACGAUGAGGUAACAGAGAAAAUGAGUUGCAGUAAUUGUUCAUUCCGGGUUACACAUUCUUUCAAGGUUUUGGAUGCCAUCAUUAGUUGUAAUUCUCAGGGCGAAGCUCAGUGGUGGUAUCAUUGUUUUGCUUUCCAUGGAUAAUUGUUCCCCCAACAUUUUGGAGGGUUUAUGGCUCAGGGGGUGGGGGUUGGAGAUUGUGGGGUGUGGAAUACUGAAUACCAAAGAGAGGAACCUGUCUCACAAAGAUCAAACUUGAAAUUCCCCACUUUGACACAAUUGUAGUUGUUUGUUUGGUGAAUUGAUUUUACUUUGCAAGUACAAUAUCUUUACUUAUUUCUCAUUGUUAUUCAUUAAUGGUAGUUUUUAAUGCAAAGCAGGUGAGGCAAUACCACAUCUUGACAGGUUUUAAUGCAAGGCAUGUUUUUAUUUUGGUUUUCUCCUUGUUUUUGUUUUUUUUUCUUCUUCUCUGUUUUGUUUUAUUUUGUUUUGUUUUGUUUUUUCUUUGUAUUUGUCAGUAGCAAAAGUAUGACUUUCUAGAGUAUGAUUUCAAUUAUCAGAACAACAAUAAUAGUGAUUGUAGUGUAUGUGCUAAAAUAUUUUUAAAGUUGAAUGUACAGCCUAUACCUUAUGGUUGC
Molecule: RNA transcript, 2535 nt
Organism: Vitis vinifera (wine grape)
Lineage: Eukaryota; Viridiplantae; Streptophyta; Magnoliopsida; Vitales; Vitaceae
Gene name: probable galacturonosyltransferase 9
Exons: 4
Source: RefSeq, a predicted model, not a curated record